CUUCACCGAGCCCAGCAGCAGCGGGCUUUCGGGGUCGCGCUCCUGGCCGUAGGCGGUGAGCAGGGCCUGCGCCUC
This 75-nucleotide antisense RNA is filed under the name Streptomyces griseoflavus. RNAcentral's name for it is "ASpks sRNA". It matches the Rfam family "ASpks TB sRNA". Lineage: Bacteria; Bacillati; Actinomycetota; Actinomycetes; Kitasatosporales; Streptomycetaceae. The record is from RNAcentral.